Molecule: long non-coding RNA, 396 nt
Organism: Lepus europaeus (European hare)
Lineage: Eukaryota; Metazoa; Chordata; Mammalia; Lagomorpha; Leporidae
Exons: 4
Source: RefSeq, a predicted model, not a curated record
ACAGCUGGAACAGCGAGAUGCAAAAAUCCCGCGCCUUCAAAGCCAGCUCCUGCAGAAGAGAGAGGGCCUGGCAGCUGAGCUGGAUGCUUCAGGAGCAGAGGAUCUAUCAACUGCAGACCAAGCCUAGGGAGACGCAGACAAACCUGGAACAGUAACCCAGCCAGCUUCAUUUGCUCCGAUGGAACUUGGUGGCCAGACAGCAGCAAGACGAGUGGCACAAGCCAUGAGGCAGGAAAUCGACUCUGACCCAACCCUUGAGAUCCGGAAGGACAUUUGAGAAAAAUCUAAAACACAGCACAAGUAAAGGAAAGACCUGUGGCUGAGUACAGGAACAUGGAGGAACAUCUUUCGAGGGUCAGAAAGGGCCAGCUAACUCAGAGACAACAGGAUGAAGAA